This 253-nucleotide ribosomal RNA is filed under the name uncultured bacterium. Its description in RNAcentral is "partial 16S ribosomal RNA". It matches the Rfam family "Bacterial small subunit ribosomal RNA", at positions 524 to 776 of the family's 1533-position model. The record is from RNAcentral.
UACGAAGGGGGCUAGCGUUGUUCGGAAUUACUGGGCGUAAAGCGCACGUAGGCGGGUUGUUAAGUCAGGGGUGAAAUCCCGGAGCUCAACUCCGGAACUGCCUUUGAUACUGGCAACCUAGAGGCUGGAAGAGGUUAGUGGAAUUCCCAGUGUAGAGGUGAAAUUCGUAGAUAUUGGGAGGAACACCAAUGGCGAAGGCAGCUCGCUGGGACGUGACUGACGCUGAGACGCGAAAGCGUGGGGAGCAAACAGG